Non-coding RNA from Penaeus vannamei (Pacific white shrimp), 375 nucleotides. Lineage: Eukaryota; Metazoa; Arthropoda; Malacostraca; Decapoda; Penaeidae. The record is from RefSeq and is a predicted model, not a curated record.
CAUAAGCCUUACUUAAAGUGACCGUGUUUACAUUGGGGGCAGUAGUCGGCGAGUGUUAUAAACCAAGUUAUAUGUAACAACCUAUUCAGCUUCAUACACCGUGGCAAUAAAUCAAGAAAGAAUAUAUGUUAUUGUUCCAGUGCUAAAUAUUUUUUGACAUGGCUUUGGUGUUUGGAAGAUGCUUGUUGGGGUCACAAAACCCCCCUCAUCCAAACCCUUAGGUUAGAACAAGAAAGGCCAAAACCUGCGAAAGCCAGCCAUACCUCACUGGGAUCGGGCAAUAGUACUCCGGAUGACAGAACCUUUUUAUGCGGCAAAAACUUCACAAGAGCAUCCAGCGAAUAAUUGUAAAAAGAAAAGAAGUACGCUUCAAAA